Molecule: ribosomal RNA, 449 nt
Filed under: uncultured bacterium
Lineage: Bacteria
Description: partial 16S ribosomal RNA
Rfam family: Bacterial small subunit ribosomal RNA
Source: RNAcentral
AACGAACGCUGGCGGCAGGCCUAACACAUGCAAGUCGAACGAGGUAGCAAUACCUAGUGGCGCACGGGUGAGAAACGCGUGGGAAUCUCCCUUCUAGUACGGGAUAACACCGGGAAACUGGUGCUAAUACCGUAUGACCCCUCCGGGGGAAAGAUUUAUCGCUAGAAGAUGAGCCCGCGUAAGAUUAGCUAGUUGGUGAGGUAACGGCUCACCAAGGCUACGAUCUUUAGCUGGUCUUAGAGGACGAUCAGCCACACUGGAACUGAGACACGGUCCAGGCUCCUACGGAAUGCAGCAGUGGGGAAUCUUGGACAAUGUGGGAAACCCUGAUCCAGCCAUGCCGCGUGAGUGAUGAAGGCCUUCGGGUUGUAAAGCUCUUUUGUGUGGGAAGAUAAUGACUGUACCACAAGAAUAAGCCCCGGCUAACUUCGUGCCAGCAGCCGCGGUAA